AUGCGCCCCCUCCACCUCAUCCUCUUCCUCCCACUCUUACUCAACCUCCUCCUCUUCACCUCCACCUCCACCACCACCACCGCCGCCGCCUCCACUACCUCCUCGCCCAACCCCGAGGUCGCCUUCCUCUCCUCAUGGCUGGCCGCGUCGCCCUCGCGCCCGCCGGACUGGGCCCCGGCCGCCUCGUCCCCGUGCAAGUGGUCGCACGUCGCCUGCGACGCCGCCGGCAGGGCGGUCGUGUCCGUCACCUUCCAGUCCGUCCACCUCGCCGUGCCGGCCCCGUCCGGCCUCUGCGCCGCGCUGCCGGGGCUCGUUAGCUUUGUUGUGUCGGAUGCCAACCUGACGGGUGGCGUGCCGGAGGACCUCGCGCUGUGCCGCCGCCUCGCCACGCUUGACCUCAGCGGCAACUCCCUCACGGGCCCCGUCCCGGCGUCGCUCGGCAACUUGACGGCGCUGGAGUCGCUGGUGGUCAACACCAACCUGCUCUCCGGCCCCAUCCCGGCGGAGCUUGGCGGGCUCGCGGGGUCGCUGAAGAACCUGCUGCUGUUCGACAACCGCCUCUCCGGCGAGCUUCCCGCGGAGCUCGGCGGGCUGCGGCAGCUCGAGUCCCUCCGCGCCGGUGGCAACCACGACCUCUCCGGCCCGAUCCCCGACUCAUUCUCCAAGCUGUCCAGCCUUGAGGUGCUCGGCCUCGCGGAUACAAAGAUCUCCGGCCAGCUCCCGCCGUCGAUCGGCAACCUCAAGAGCCUCCAGACGCUGUCGAUAUACACCACCAUGCUCUCCGGCUCCAUCCCGCCGGAGCUCGCGCUGUGCGCCAACCUCACCGACGUGUACCUCUACGAGAACGCGCUCUCCGGCGCGCUCCCCCCGGAGCUCGGCGCGCUCCAGAGCCUCCAGAAGCUGCUGCUGUGGCAGAACGCGCUCACCGGCCCCAUCCCGGAGAGCUUCGGCAACCUCACGUCGCUCGUCUCGCUUGACCUCUCCAUCAACUCCAUCUCCGGCGUCAUCCCGGCGUCGCUUGGCCGGCUACCGGCGCUGCAGGACCUCAUGCUCAGCGACAACAACCUCACCGGCACCAUCCCCGUGCAGCUCGCCAACGCGACGGCGCUCGUGCAGCUUCAGCUCGACACCAACGAGAUCUCCAGCCUCAUCCCGACGGAGCUCGGCCGGAGCCUGACCAACCUGCAGGUGCUGUUCGCGUGGCAGAACCGCCUCGAGGGCGCCAUCCCGGCCACCCUUGCGUCGAUGGCGAGCCUCCAGGCGCUCGACCUCUCGCACAACCGAUUCACCGGCGCCGUGCCGCCGGGGCUCUUCUUGCUGCGCAACCUCACCAAGCUGCUAAUCUUGUCCAACGAUAUCUCCGGCGUGAUACCGCCGGAGAUCGGGAAGGCAGCGAGCCUCGUGCGGCUCAGGCUCGGUGGCAACCGCAUCACCGGGGAGAUUCCCGCGGCCGUGGGAGGGAUGAAGAGCAUCGUCUUCCUCGACCUUGGCAGCAACCGCCUCACCGGCACCGUUCCCGCCCAGCUCGGCGACUGCUCGCAGCUCCAGAUGCUCGACCUCAGCAACAACACGCUCACUGGAGCCUUGCCGGAUUCGCUCGCCGGCGUGCGCGGCCUGCAGGAGCUCGACGUCUCACACAACCAGCUCACCGGCCCCGUGCCAGAAUCCUUGGGAAGGCUGGCGGUGCUGAGCCGUCUCGUCCUCGCCGGCAACGCGCUGUCCGGGACGAUACCGGCGGCGCUCGGGCGGUGCCGCGCGCUCGAGCUGCUCGACCUCAGCGACAACCGCCUCUCCGGCGGCAUCCCCGACGAGCUCUGCAGCCUCGCCGGCCUCGACAUCGCCCUUAACCUCAGCCGCAAUGGUCUCACCGGCGCGAUCCCGGCGAGGAUAUCACAACUGAGCAAGCUGUCUGUGCUCGACCUGUCAUACAACGCGUUCGCCGGCAGCCUCACGCCGCUCGCCGGGCUCGACAACCUCGUCACCCUCAAUGUGUCGCAGAACAACUUCUCCGGGUACCUCCCGGACACGAAGCUCUUCCGGCAGCUCUCGGCGUCCAGCCUCGCCGGGAACUCGGGGCUGUGCACCAAAGGCGGCGACGUGUGUUUCGUUGGCGUGGACGCCGACGGCCGGCCGAUGUCGGUGACCGCUAGCGACGAUGCGCAGCGCGCGCACCGGCUCAAGCUCGCCAUCGCGCUGCUGGUGACCGCGACGGUGGCCAUGGUGCUCGGGAUGAUCGGCAUACUCAGAGCGCGCGGGGUGGGCGUGAAGGGCGGAGGUGGGGGCGGGAGCAGCGACUCGGAGGCCGGCGGCGGGGAGCUGGGGUGGCCGUGGCAGUUCACGCCGUUCCAGAAGGUGAGCUUCUCGGUGGACCAGGUGGUGCGGAGCCUGGUCGACGCCAACAUCAUCGGCAAGGGCGUCUCCGGCGUGGUGUACCGCGUGAGCCUGGACUCCGGCGAGACCAUCGCCGUGAAGAAGCUGUGGCCGGCCACGACGGCCGCGGCCGCCGCGUUCAAGGACGCCGGCCGGGACUCGUUCUCGGCGGAGGUGCGCACGCUGGGCUCCAUCCGGCACAAGAACAUCGUGAGGUUCCUCGGCUGCUGCUGGAACAAGAGCACGCGGCUGCUCAUGUACGACUACAUGGCCAACGGCAGCCUCGGCGCCGUGCUCCACGAGCGCGGCGGCGGCGCGCAGCUCGAGUGGGACGUCCGGUACCGGAUCGUGCUCGGGUCGGCACAGGGUCUUGCGUACCUUCACCAUGGCUGCUCGCCGCCGAUCGUCCACCGUGACAUCAAGGCCAACAACAUCCUCAUCGGGCUCGAUUUCGAGGCCUACAUCGCCGACUUCGGCCUCGCCAAGCUCGUCGACGAGGGCGCCGACUUCGGCCGCUCCUCCAACACCGUCGCCGGCUCCUACGGCUACAUCGCCCCUGAGUACGGGUACAUGCUCAAGAUCACCGAGAAGAGCGACGUGUACAGCUAUGGGGUGGUGGUGCUGGAGGUGCUGACGGGGAAGCAGCCCAUCGACCCGACAAUUCCGGACGGGCAACACGUGGUGGACUGGGUGCGGCGACACAAGGGUGGCGCCGGCGUGCUGGACCCGGCGCUGCAGGGGCGGUCUGACACGGAGGUGGAGGAGAUGCUGCAGGUCAUGGGCGUCGCCUUGCUCUGCGUCAGCCCCGUCCCCGACGAGCGGCCGGCCAUGAAGGACGUCGCGGCCAUGCUCAAGGAGAUCCGGCUCGAGCGCGAGGAGUACGCCAAGGUCGACGUCCUGCUCAAGGGCGGUGGUGGCGGCUGCGGGUCGCCGGCCAAGGAUGCCACCUCGACAACAAUGCCAUUGGCGACGACAAAGGCCACCACAUCGACGUCGAGCACGCCGCCAUGCCGGCAGGGCCCCGGGAGCAGCGCCUGCAACAGCAACAGCAGCAGCUUCUCUGCCGUCUACUCUUCAUCGAAGGCCAAAUCGCCAUUCGAUUGA
Molecule: ribosomal RNA, 3474 nt
Filed under: Triticum aestivum (bread wheat)
Lineage: Eukaryota; Viridiplantae; Streptophyta; Magnoliopsida; Poales; Poaceae
Description: partial small subunit ribosomal RNA
Source: RNAcentral